AUCUAUGGCCAUACCACCCUGAACACACCCAAUCUCGUCUGAUCUCAGAAGCUAAGCAGGGUCAGGCCUGGUUAGUACUUGGAUGGGAGAAAAGGCUUUCCCCAGUUAAGGAUACAAGUUUCAAGUACU
RNAcentral lists this ribosomal RNA (129 nucleotides) under Octodon degus (degu). Lineage: Eukaryota; Metazoa; Chordata; Mammalia; Rodentia; Octodontidae. The record is from RNAcentral.